GAAUAUAGUUAUCUAUGGUUAAAUGUGUUAAUUGCAAAUUAAUCUCUUUAGGGUUCAAUUCCCUCUAUAUUCU
This 73-nucleotide transfer RNA is filed under the name Millerozyma farinosa. RNAcentral describes it as "transfer RNA-Cys". It matches the Rfam family "tRNA". Rfam says of the family: Transfer RNA (tRNA) molecules are approximately 80 nucleotides in length. Their secondary structure includes four short double-helical elements and three loops (D, anti-codon, and T loops). Further hydrogen bonds mediate the characteristic L-shaped molecular structure. tRNAs have two regions of fundamental functional importance: the anti-codon, which is responsible for specific mRNA codon recognition, and the 3' end, to which the tRNAs corresponding amino acid is attached (by aminoacyl-tRNA synthetases). tRNAs cope with the degeneracy of the genetic code in two manners: having more than one tRNA (with a specific anti-codon) for a particular amino acid; and 'wobble' base-pairing, i.e. permitting non-standard base-pairing at the 3rd anti-codon position. Lineage: Eukaryota; Fungi; Ascomycota; Pichiomycetes; Serinales; Debaryomycetaceae. The record is from RNAcentral.